Molecule: long non-coding RNA, 1032 nt
Organism: Bos indicus x Bos taurus (hybrid cattle)
Lineage: Eukaryota; Metazoa; Chordata; Mammalia; Artiodactyla; Bovidae
Source: Ensembl
ACUCGGGCAAGAGUCAUAAUGACAAAGCAGAAAGGCUCCUUACCGCCCUCCGUGGCUGCAAACCCUACACCUCUUUCCAAAGCAUUAGCUCAGCGUGGUGGUGGCAGGGUCCAGGGAUCCACUUUUCUUGAUUAAACAGAACGCCGACCAGCAGAUCUGGAACCCAGGCUUGGUGCUGGGCUGGAUUCAGCGUCUGUGGGGUCCCACUGGCAGGCGGGCAGUGCCAGUCAGCCCCGGGGCUGGUGGGCAAGAGGGCAUGUCCUGUCCCCAGCCCAUGUGUGGGUGGGUCAGCACUGGGCCCAGGCCCCAUAUGUGAGGUUCUUUUCUGAGGAUGCCUCCCUCAUCCCCAGACUCCAGACUCUCAGGCCUGAUUUUGAUUUCAAGUGUUAGCAGAGGGAGACUGGGGACAAAACAGUCCGGAACGAGGAGACUCCCUCUUGCUGGUUAUUUCUCGGCCCAGCCGUGCCGAUGACCGAUACUGUCUUCCCAAAGGCCAUGGAGGCUGUUUUCCACGGGCAAAGGUGAGAGGUCUGCUCUCUUCCCCGAGACGGGGUGUCCUGGGGUGUCAGAGCAGCUGGGCCUUAAGCACUCAGUCCAGCUCUCUUGCUUUCAGAUAGGAAAGCAAAGAAACUGAGGAAACUGAGGCUCAGAGGGGGCUGGUUUCCCCAGGGCCAUCGCAGGGCUUCUAGACUCUGCUGCCGGCCCAGAGACCACAGCUCCUCCCGCAGCAUCUGGUAUUCAAAGGGAGCGGAUCACCUCCAGAGAUGGCACAGGUCAUGGGAGGGCUUAUCCAGCAAGAACCCUGAUGCUGUCAGGGAGGCAGGACAAGAGCAGCUUCACUGGAGAAAAGCACUUAGGGCUGAGGGAAAUGAGGGGAGAGUCUCUCCUGAGAACUCAGAAAAAGGAGAAGAAAUAGUGGAGGUUUUGCUGGUGAGGAGAAGAGAACAGAGCUCUCAUGGCUUCAGCUCCCCUCCAGGAUGGAUGCUGGCCAAACACCCACCUGGCAUCUGUAGAAGGAGACCCCAGCGGCAC